This is a non-coding RNA of Peromyscus maniculatus bairdii (prairie deer mouse), 290 nucleotides long. The record is from RefSeq and is a predicted model, not a curated record. NCBI's taxonomy places the organism in Eukaryota, Metazoa, Chordata, Mammalia, Rodentia, Cricetidae.
CAGAAACUGAAAGAGUCAGAAAAAGAGAGAGAUUCUGCUAAGGAUAAAGAAAAAGGGAAGCAUGAAGAUGGGAGGAAAAAAGAAGCAGAUGUUAUUAAGCAGCUGAAGAUUGAACUCAAGAAAGCACAAGAGAGCCAGAAGGAGAUGAAACUGCUGCUAGAUAUGUAUCGCUCUGCCCCCAAGGAGCAGAGAGACAAAGUGCAGCUAAUGGCAGCUGAGAAGAAGUCGAAGGCUGAGUUGGAGGAUCUCAGGCAAAGACUCAAGGAUUUGGAGGAUAAAGAGAAGAAAGA